ACUCCUACGGGAGGCAGCAGUGGGGAAUAUUGCACAAUGGGGGAAACCCUGAUGCAGCAACGCCGCGUGAAGGAUGAAGGUUUUCGGAUUGUAAACUUCUUUGACCGGGGACGAAACAAAUGACGGUACCCGGAAAACAAGCCACGGCUAACUACGUGCCAGCAGCCGCGGUAAUACGCAGGUGGCGAGCGUUGUCCGGAAUUACUGGGUGUAAAGGGCGUGCAGGCGGGUCUGCAAGUCAGAUGUGAAAUUCCGGGGCUUAACCCCGGCGCUGCAUUUGAAACUGCGGAUCUUGAGUAUCGGAGAGGGAAGUGGAAUUCCUAGUGUAGCGGUGAAAUGCGUAGAUAUUAGGAGGAACACCAGUGGCGAAGGCGACUUUCUGGACGAUAACUGACGCUGAGGCGCGAAAGCGUGGGGAGCAAACAGGAUUAGAUACCCUGGUAGUCCACGCCGUAAACGAUGGAUACUAGGUGUGGGGGGUAUCGACCCCCCCCGUGCCGCAGCUAACGCAAUAAGUAUCCCACCUGGGGAGUACGGCCGCAAGGUUGAAACUCAAAUGAAUUGACGG
This 568-nucleotide ribosomal RNA is filed under the name uncultured Clostridiaceae bacterium. RNAcentral describes it as "bacterial SSU rRNA". It matches the Rfam family "Bacterial small subunit ribosomal RNA", at positions 335 to 916 of the family's 1533-position model. The record is from RNAcentral. Lineage: Bacteria; Bacillati; Bacillota; Clostridia; Eubacteriales; Clostridiaceae.